This 237-nucleotide ribosomal RNA is filed under the name Triticum aestivum (bread wheat). RNAcentral's name for it is "partial small subunit ribosomal RNA". The record is from RNAcentral. Lineage: Eukaryota; Viridiplantae; Streptophyta; Magnoliopsida; Poales; Poaceae.
AUGGCAGAGGCUGUGGUUUAUGUCGUGCUUGGGAAAAUUGCUGCUAGUUUGGGGCGAGAUGCUCUAAAUGCAAUAGGCUCACGGAUUGGCAAAGAAGCAACACAUUUACUUGAAGCUGAGAACAACAUGAGGCAGAUUGAGAUUGAAUUCAAAGUAAUGAAAGCUUUUCUAAUGCAAGUGCCGAUGCGCUCAUCACGUAAUUUAGCUUUUGAUGCCUGGCUUGAGGAGGUAAAGUAG